GGGCCCGCACAAGCAGUGGAGUAUGUGGUUUAAUUCGAAGCAACGCGAAGAACCUUACCAGGAUUUGACAUCCUACUAACGAAGCAGAGAUGCAUAAGGUGCCCUUCGGGGAAAGUAGAGACAGGUGGUGCAUGGUUGUCGUCAGCUCGUGUCGUGAGAUGUUGGGUUAAGUCCCGCAACGAGCGCAACCCUUAUUGCUAGUUGCUACGCAAGAGCACUCUAGCGAGACUGCCGUUGACAAAACGGAGGAAGGCGGGGACGACGUCAAAUCAUCAUGCCCCUUAUGUCCUGGGCUACACACGUACUACAAUGGCGGCUAACAGAGGGAAGCAAGACAGUGAUGUGGAGCAAAUCCCUAAAAACCGUCUCAGUUCGGAUCGCAGGCUGCAACCCGCCUGCGUGAAGUCGGAAUUGCUAGUAAUCGCGGAUCAGCAUGCCGCGGUGAAUACGUUCCCGGGCCUU
RNAcentral lists this ribosomal RNA (462 nucleotides) under uncultured bacterium. Its description in RNAcentral is "bacterial SSU rRNA". It matches the Rfam family "Bacterial small subunit ribosomal RNA", at positions 917 to 1382 of the family's 1533-position model. The record is from RNAcentral.